This 1476-nucleotide ribosomal RNA is filed under the name uncultured Bordetella sp. RNAcentral describes it as "partial 16S-23S ribosomal RNA intergenic spacer". Lineage: Bacteria; Pseudomonadati; Pseudomonadota; Betaproteobacteria; Burkholderiales; Alcaligenaceae. The record is from RNAcentral.
UUACCUUGUUGCUGACUUCACUAAGUCAUAGAUCCUACCGUGGUAAUGUUUACUCAUGCGGGUUAGGCUAACUACUUCUGGUAAAACCCACUCCCAUGGUGUGACGGGCGGUGUGUACAAGAUCAGGAACGUAUUCACCGCGACAUGCUGAUCCACGAUUACUAGCGACGAUUCCGACUUCGCGCAGUCGAGUCGCAGACGCGAUCGGACUCUGAUCAGGUUCUGGAUGGCUCCCCCUCGCGGGUUGGCGACCCUCUGUCCCGACCAUUGUAUGACGACGUGAAGCCCUACCCGCAAGACCCAUGAGGACUUGACGUCAUCUACCACACUUCCUCGGUUUCACCAACAGUCUCGAUAGAAAUUGCCAACUUUCGUAGCAACUAAUGACAGGGUUGCGCUCGUUGCAGGACUUAACCCAACAUCUCGACACGAGCUGACGACAGCCAUGCAGCACCUGUGUUCCGGUUCUCUUAUUGCAGGCGCAUCUAAAAUCUCUUCGGGAUUUGAACGUAAAAAGGGUGGUGGAAGGUUUUCGCAUUUGGCAUCAGAUUAAUCCCAUGUCUUCCCUUGUGCUUGGGUCCCCGUCAAUUCCUUUGAGUUUUUAAUCUUGCGACCGUACUCCCAGGCGGUCAACUUCACCGUUAGCUGCGCUACCAAGGCCCGAAGGCCCUAACAGCUAGUUGACAUCGUUUAGGCGGCGGGCUAAAGUCAUCUAAUCUGUUUGCUCCCACGCUUUCGUGCUGAGCGUCGGUAUCACGAGGCUGCUUCGCCAUCCGGUGUUCCUCCGCAUAUCUACGCAUUCCACUGCUACACACACAAUUCCACCUCCCUCUGACACACUCUAGCUCGGUAGUUAAAAAUGCAGUUCAAAGUUAAGCUCUGGGUUUCACAUCUUUCUUUCGAACCGCCUGCGCACGCUUUACGCCCGAUCAAUUCCGAUUAACGCUUGCACCCUACGUAUUACCGCGGCUGCUGCCCAUGUACGUGGUUGUUUGAUCGCUUAUUCUGCAGGACCGCAAUCGAUUGCACGGGGUAUUAUCCCGUGCCGUUUCUUUCCUGCCAAAGGUGCUUUACAACCCGAAAGCCUUCAUCGCGUGGACCUGGCUGGAUCAGGAGUUUCCCCCAUUGUCCAUUCCCCCUGCUGCUCCAUGCGGGAUCUGGGUGAUGUCUCAGUCCCGAGUGUGGCUGGGUCGUCCUCUCGACCAGCUACCUGGAUCGUCGCCUUGGUUGAGCUGUUACCCCCUGUAGCUAAUCAAUUAUCUGGCCGCUCUAAUAGUGCGAGGCCCGAAAGGUCCCCGCUCCCCCGAAGGCAUUAUGCGGUAUUAUUUCACCGCUUUCAGCAAUAGUUAUUACCUUUACUAGGCGCUGUUCAGACCACAUUACUCUUCGUUCUUCCACUCGCCACCAGACCGAAGUCGUGCUGCCGUUCACGACUUGCAUAAAGCAUCCCGCCAGCGUUCAAUCGACCAGGACCGA